CAUAUAUCAAGUGCAAUGCUUUCCCAUUUAUAAAAAUAUGAGCCUUUCAUGAAUUAAAAGGAGUGAACCCCACAUAAAUGUAAAUAUGUGUAUACAUCAGUAAACACUAAUUGAGACCUUAACUGAAUCCAACCACAUACUUCAUUCUUCUUUAUCCCUAUAAUGUUCUGGCCUUAUCAAGUGAUAAAUCAUAGCAUGACACAAAAUCCGGAGAUGAGCACAAAAUUUCAAUAACACCACCAAAAUUCAUUAAUGGCAGCUACUUGAAACAUUUGAAAAUCCAAUCGGUGGCUGAAAUCUCUCCAUGCCAACAUCAACAAGCUGGUAAGAAUUCAAUGAUCAAAAGAGACUCCUAACUACUCUAAUAACCCAAAAUCCUGAGCUGGGCAAAUAAGUAGCCCUACAACAAUGUAUAGAGAUAAACAGCAUUUAUGCAACCCCAAUAAUAGAGAUAUAUUUUCAAAAUUGAAAAAGAAAAAUCUUUCCCUUUUCCCCAGAUACAAUUUAUGCAUAUAUAUAUAUAUAUAUAUGAUGCAGGUGCAUUCUGGCACCUAGCUUAAAUACUUCGAGCUCUUGUCUAGCUCAGAAAAAGAUGGCUUUAAAAUGGUUUCUAAAUUCUGCAUUUACUCAAGUUUUUGGU
This 640-nucleotide unclassified non-coding RNA is filed under the name Hevea brasiliensis (rubber tree). The record is from RNAcentral. Lineage: Eukaryota; Viridiplantae; Streptophyta; Magnoliopsida; Malpighiales; Euphorbiaceae.